CCUACGGGAGGCAGCAGUAGGGAAUUUUCGGCAAUGGGGGGAACCCUGACCGAGCAACGCCGCGUGAACGAAGAAGUUAUUCGUAAUGUAAAGUUCUUUUAACAGGGAAGAAAGAGAAAUUUGACGGUACCUGAAGAAUAAGCUCCGGCUAACUACGUGCCAGCAGCCGCGGUAAUAAGUAGGGAGCGAGCGUUAUACGGAAUUAUUGGGCGUAAAGGGUGCGUAGAUGGCAUAGUAAGUCAUUGGUAAAAGUGCUGGGCUCAACCCAGUAGGGCAAAAGAUACUGGAAGGCUAGAGUGUGACAGAGGCAAGUGGAACGACAGGUGUAGCGGUAAAAUGCGUAGAUAUAUGUAAGAACACCGGUGGCGAAGGCAGCUUGCUGGGUCGAUACUGACGUUGAGGCACGAAAGCGUGGGGAGCGAACAGGAUUAGAUACCCCAGUAGUC
This 446-nucleotide ribosomal RNA is filed under the name uncultured bacterium. Its description in RNAcentral is "partial 16S ribosomal RNA". It matches the Rfam family "Bacterial small subunit ribosomal RNA", at positions 338 to 795 of the family's 1533-position model. The record is from RNAcentral.